GGAUCGAUGCGUCGGUCGUGCCUUCGGUACGUACUGGCGUCAUCGAUUCCUCCCUUCUUGAAGAACCGUGAUGUCAUUAAUUUGGUGUUACGGGGAAUCAGGACUGUUACCUUGAAAAAUUAGAGUGUUUAAAGCAGGCUAACGCUUGAAUACAUUAGCAUGGAAUAAUGAAAUAGGACGUUCGAACCUAUUUUGUUGGUUUCUAGGAUCGACGUAAUGAUUAAUAGGGAUAGUUGGGGCUGGAGGACUGGCCAA
This 255-nucleotide ribosomal RNA is filed under the name uncultured Glomeromycotina. RNAcentral describes it as "partial 18S ribosomal RNA". The stretch from base 32 to 255 matches the Rfam family "Eukaryotic small subunit ribosomal RNA", at positions 677 to 904 of the family's 1831-position model. The record is from RNAcentral. Lineage: Eukaryota; Fungi; Glomeromycota.